GAUGAACGCUGGCGGCGUGCCUAAUACAUGCAAGUCGAGCGAACAGACGAGGAGCUUGCUCCUCUGACGUUAGCGGCGGACGGGUGAGUAACACGUGGAUAACCUACCUAUAAGACUGGGAUAACUUCGGGAAACCGGAGCUAAUACCGGAUAAUAUAUUGAACCGCGUGGUUCAAUAGUGAAAGACGGUUUUGCUGUCACUUAUAGAUGGAUCCGCGCCGCAUUAGCUAGUUGGUAAGGUAACGGCUUACCAAGGCAACGAUGCGUAGCCGACCUGAGAGGGUGAUCGGCCACACUGGAACUGAGACACGGUCCAGACUCCUACGGGAGGCAGCAGUAGGGAAUCUUCCGCAAUGGGCGAAAGCCUGACGGAGCAACGCCGCGUGAGUGAUGAAGGUCUUCGGAUCGUAAAAUUCUGUUAUUAGGGAAGAACAAAUGUGUAAGUAACUAUGCACGUCUUGACGGUACCUAAUCAGAAAGCCACGGCUAACUACGUG
RNAcentral lists this ribosomal RNA (497 nucleotides) under uncultured bacterium. RNAcentral describes it as "partial 16S ribosomal RNA". It matches the Rfam family "Bacterial small subunit ribosomal RNA", at positions 28 to 507 of the family's 1533-position model. The record is from RNAcentral.